Pelodiscus sinensis (Chinese soft-shelled turtle) is the source of this 1660-nucleotide non-coding RNA. NCBI's taxonomy places the organism in Eukaryota, Metazoa, Chordata, Testudines, Trionychidae. The record is from RefSeq and is a predicted model, not a curated record.
UGUGGGAUGUGAAGGCCCAGCAAGUGGGGCCUGGGCCGACAGGCCGUUAGUUCAUGUAACCUCCCUUUGGCCUGCUCCGAGAAGAAAGCAUGUUCCUCAGACCGGAGGCCCUGGAUGGAGAGUCCUGAGGACUGCACCACCACAGAGGCUACAACCCUGGCUGCCCAGUCGGCUGCAUCCCAGGCCAUCCGUAGGGAGCCCUUUGUCACUGCUUUCCUCCGACCAGCUGUGAACUGAGAGCCUGACCGGGGUACUGCACCCACGCUGGAAUGGAAGGGGCUAAGGCCACGGUGUUAGCAAUGGAAGCCACAUUCCUCAACUAUGCUGGGUGGCUCCUGAGGACCACUGAGGAGGAAGGAUGCUCCUUGCCAGCUCCAGCCAAGGAGCAGCCAGGGCCAGACGCUUUCUCUGUUCCCACUAGCAAUCCAGUACCAUCCCUGUGCACGAACAGCAACGAUUUACAGGUAAGAACGGGAAAGUAUUUAAUGAACUUGUAGCCUUAAAAAAUACGAGUUAGCAGCUGGAAAGAAAGAGAGAGCAUGUGAGUGGCCAGAACGCCACAGACCACUAGCAAGUUCUCUGCACACCACCAUCCAGCAAUCCAUACGUCGCUUUGCAGACUGUAUUAUGGUGGAUGCAUCUUCACAGGGAGAGCCAUCAGGUCAACUUUUGUUAUUCAAGAGACAGACUUUGCUCAGAAGCACCUGAGUUUUAUGGAGCAACCUUUGUCUGGUGCCAUCCCUGUGCAAAAGAGCAAGCUGGGAUCAUCUCUGGGCACUGAGAGCAUAUGCACUCCAAUUUGCGCUAGAGAAGCCAGUGCCCAGGCUGUUGACUUCAUACAGACGUAGGGAUUGGGCAGAGCUGGGAAGCGUUUUUUGUCACUCGCAGCAUUUUUAUCGCCUCUUUUGCUUAAUGCUGGAGGUUUUGGGCUCCUUUAGCACAGCAAUCUCCCUGACAGAGGCAAAGGCUGAGGUGGUGGCUGGAUGCCAAUGAGGUACAAGCCAUUGGGAAGAGAGGUCAGUUGUUUGGUUCGAAGGCUGCAGCCUGUUGAUAGCGCUAUCACCAGAACAAUGCAGAGUCAUAAGACACUGUAGUCAAACAGCUGGAAAACUAAGCAGAGGUCAAUUAUUUUAUUGCCCCAUAGCUCCUCUCCCAGCCUAGCGAGCAGUAUUUGAAAAGGAUGAAGCUGGCUCGUAUAGUAACACAGCUGGCUGCUCCUCAGCCCUCCCUCAUUCUGUCUCUCAAGCAGCAAUCCCACAUUUACCUCUUUCCUGGUGUAGCCACACACACGGACACAGGCACACAAUAUAUACAUUUGGAUCCCGGAAUUGACACACUGCAAAGGAAGACAGCACCACUCAGAGAGGACGGUGCAUUCAGCAGCUGUCUAAAGAGAAAUCUCUUGACUUUCUGUUAAACUUGCAAUGUUUGUCUUUAUUUGUUCUUUAUCUUUUCAAAAUGAAAAUAGUCUUGAGUCAUUUUCUUUCUUUUGUUUAAAUAUUUGUCCUAUGUAUUUACAAGCCUUUAAGGUGUGUUCUAAAGGGUUUCAAAGUGUCACUAGUACUGCCCCCCCUCAGGGUAGCACUUUGUUUCGAAGGAGUUUUUCUUGGAGCACACUGGUCCAUAGCAUUUUCCCAAAUACAUUUCCUUCUGCUCCAAG